Molecule: RNA transcript, 1830 nt
Organism: Phoenix dactylifera (date palm)
Lineage: Eukaryota; Viridiplantae; Streptophyta; Magnoliopsida; Arecales; Arecaceae
Gene name: lysophospholipid acyltransferase LPEAT1-like
Source: RefSeq, a predicted model, not a curated record
UUCCAUGCGAGUGCAUGUGGCAUUCAGCUUGGGAUUUGGAUAGGCACAAUACUAGGCAAAACAAUAAACGAAGUAAUGAACCAGAAGAGAUGAGGAGACAAAUUCGUUCCGUUAGAUCCGUGGCCGUACUGUGAUCUACGGCCACGAUUCCCCGGGCCGCCGCGACGGCGGAUGGCCACGCCCCCCACUCCCCCUCAAACUUCGCGAACCCGCCACCCCCUCCCUCUCUCUCCAAGAAUCACCCACCAAUGGCUUCCCUCCUGCGAGAGGAUUAGGGUUACAGUUAAGGUUUUGGUUCCUCCCAAUGUCGUCGGAGCUGAAGGAUCUCGUCGGGUCCAACGGAUCCCUCGACUCCCAGGAGGAGUCCCCCCACGUCGGUGGCGGCGGGGGAUCCUCCGGCAAGGCGAAGGACGAGCGGCCGCUCCUGAAGCCGGGAUCCGCCGCCUCCGAGGCCGCCAACGCGGCCACUCCCUCGGAGAGACUCGAGGAAUUGGAGAAGAAGUACGCGCCGUACGUGCGGAAGGACGCCUAUGGGACGAUGGGCCGCGGGGAGCUACCUCCGGCGGAGUGGGUGCUCCUCGGGAUCGCCCUCGUGACGCUGGUCCCGAUCCGGCUCGUGGUCGGGAUCUUUCUGGUGGUGUUAUAUUACCUGAUCUGCCGGCUGUGCACGCUUUUCUACGCUCCGAACCGGGAGGAUGGAAAGGAAGACUACGCCCACAUGGUGGGGUGGAGAAGGGUGGUGGUGGUCCGGACUGGGAGAUUCCUCUCCAGGAUAAUGCUAUUCGUGCUCGGCUUUUAUUGGAUUCGGGAGUCCCAUCGGAGUUUCUCCUUCGAGGAUGAGCACGAGCAGCCUGAUGAAUCUGAAAGACCAGAGGUUAUUGUGUCGAAUCACAUAUCUUAUGUGGAUAUUCUCUAUCAGAUGUCGUCAUGCUUUCCAAGUUUUGUUGCAAAGAGGUCAGUGGCUAGGCUUCCCCUCAUUGGUAUCAUCAGCAAGUGCCUUGGUUGUGUCUAUGUUCAACGAGAGUCGAAAUCUUCUAAGGGUGUCUCGGGUAUUCUGACAGAAAGAAUUAAAGAGGCCCAUCAAAACAAGCUUUAUCCAAUGAUGAUGCUCUUUCCAGAAGGUACAACCACGAAUGGCAAUUACCUUCUUCCAUUCAAGACAGGUGCCUUUCUAGCUAAAGCACCAGUUCUUCCAGUGAUUCUAAAAAAUCAUCAAGCUGUGAUUACAUCACCGUUCCAUGCUAACACUGGCAGAUUGACAUAGAAGAUAUCAUGGGUGCGUCAUGUGUUUUUGCUUCUUUGUCAAUUUGUCAAUCAUCUUGAGGUGAUCCAUUUGCCUGUAUAUUAUCCUUCUGAGCAAGAAAUGGAGGACCCCAAACUCUAUGCUAAUAAUGUUCGGAAAUUAAUGGCUACUGAGGGCAAUUUAAUACUCUCAGAUAUUGGGUUAGCUGAGAAGCGAAUCUACCAUGCUGCGCUGAAUGGUAAUAGUCUACCUCGUGUUUUACAUCAGAAAGAUGACUGAAAAACUAUUGACCUCGCUCACAGGAUUUGUAUAAUCAGUUGAGUUGCUUGUUUCCAUGCAUUAUAACUAUAUCCAGAAGUGCUAGCUGUUUUCCUCGUUUUGUUUCAGAGAUGGAUGUUGUGCAUGCCAUCAUGCUGUAAAACCCCAUUCCCAGGAUUUGGGUAGCGCAAAUUGUUUGUCUAGAAAGGAUGCCCUUUGAUGCCAUGGGCUCUUUAAUAUACAUGAACCAUGUUCCAAAGCUUAAGAUUCAGUCUUGUACAUUUGGAGACUAAUAAUUAAUAAAUUACUUUUAAUGUCUCUAAUAUUUA